Phalaenopsis equestris is the source of this 907-nucleotide long non-coding RNA. RefSeq lists it as uncharacterized. The transcript has 4 exons. Lineage: Eukaryota; Viridiplantae; Streptophyta; Magnoliopsida; Asparagales; Orchidaceae. The record is from RefSeq and is a predicted model, not a curated record.
AGUCUGAGACGGUGGGCGAGAGAAUCAAGCCUUCAGCUUGGAGAAGAGCUUCUUGCUAAGUAAUUAGCUCUGCUGAAACAAUAUGGACAAGAAGCCUGCUGCAAAAGGAACAAAAGCUCAACAAUAUCCCCCUGUGGGCUAUCCCAUGGAUUCCUCGGCACCACAGACCAAGAAAUGCUGCCAUGCAAAGACGAAGAAGAGAGGCGAGAGAGGCUUCAUUGAAGGAUGCCUUGCAGGACUUUGCUGCUGUUGGAUCUUCGAAGAAUGCUGCAUUUAAGUAGAAGGAUCAUUAGUAUUAUGAUUGCUCUGGAUGUAAUUUAGCAAAAUGUUGAUGGUGAUUCGGUAAUGUCACUGGACAUCUUCAGAUGACAAUAUUUACGAGAUAAAUAUACUACUGUAUACUAAAAACAUAAGAACACGAUCUCAACAAGAUAAUGCAAGACACAAUACUGAUAGAGGUAAAUGUUACUAGCAUUUUGAUAUGGCGCGGCUAGACAUGUGAGGAUGAUGAUCAAUGCAUGUUGGCAUUACGUUAUGUGUUUAGUCCAACCAAAGAAGCCAAAUAGGGAUGCAUAUGACUAUUUGCAAGAGUAAUUGAGUGAGGGUUGAGGUUACAACAACUUGAAGAAAACUGCAAUUGACGUUUGUAAUUGUCAAACGGGAUGCCUUUUUGAAGAGCUAUAAAUCUUAACAUUAACCUUCCCUCAUGUAUUGCAUUUACUAAUCGAGAUGUAUCACAACUUCUGGGUGUAGGAAAAGAGAUACGGAUUGAAGUGCUUGAUUAUUAAACCCAAUAAAUAAUUAAGCUAAGAAUCUUCUUGUAUGGAUCACAAACCAUGAUGAGCACAACUUAAAAUUGGUGGUGUUGCAUAUACUUUGUACUAAGUAAAAAUCUUGAUGAAGAAUU